CCGAAGAAUAUUGAAGUAUCAAGCAGAAAACUUAAAAUCAUUAUGGAAGGUUAGCGUGACUUGAGGCAAAUCACAGAGAGAAGAGAGCAGCCGUAGUGACUUCACCCAAGACUAUUUAAAGCAACAGUAUAAUUUUUGCUACAUGUUUGUAAUGUGAAUCAGGAGCUGAGGGUCUCUCGGAAAUAGCCUAGCUGCCCUCUCGAGGUAGGGGUAAAAUCUGCGUACACAUUACUGGGUCGUUGUUGUUUGUAAUGUGAAUCAGAAAACUUCCUUUCAGAUUUGAAAAUGUGGGGCUGCAGUAAAAUGACCUUGUGCUUGAGUGAACAUAUAGUAGGAUUACUAGCAGGCUGACACCAAAGGGAAGUUUCUAGCUAGAGAAGGUCCAUCUUCUCUCUAGACACGGACCAUCAUUCAGCAAGUCUAAGUCCAACCAAGCAGUCAAAUACCUCGUCAACCAAGCUAGGAGGCCGCACUUCUGCCAGCGCAUGAAAUUCUCAUACACGCUAGAGAGAAGGAAAAUUCCAGCGACCUUAGUAAUGGAGGAUGAUGGGGAUCCAGAUCAGGUGAGAAGAGACAUUUUAUAAAAGUGAACUUUCUCCAAAAAUUUCUUUCUCCCUCCCCAAUUUUUCUCAGUUUAACGAGAUAGCAAGACCCAGGAGGCUCGCAGCUACCACGGCCACAAACACUCUGCUCGUUCGUAAGCCACUUUAGAGAUGAGGGCGAGCCAGGAGCUUACGGAAAAAAUGGCUCAUACACGCUAGAGAGAAGGAAAAUUCCAGCGACCUUAGUAAUGGAGGAUGAUGGGGAUCCAGAUCAGGUGAGAAGAGACAUUUUAUAAAAGUGAACUUUCUCCAAAAAUUUCUUUCUCCCUCCCCAAUUUUUCUCAGUUUAACGAGAUAGCAAGACCCAGGAGGCUCGCAGCUACCACGGCCACAAACACUCUGCUCGUUCGUAAGCCACUUUAGAGAUGAGGGCGAGCCAGGAGCUUACUUCGAGUAUUUAUGACUCUGGUGGCAACACGUGACAAGCGAAUGACAUGAUUCUCGAGGAGUUACACGACGGCCAUGUGCAUCAAAUAGAUGCAGUCUUCAGUUGAUGAUUCAUGUCAUUCAUUUAGGCUUGGGUCUUUCAUUCGGUCCCUAUUGGGGCACCCUGUGGGCCACUGUUUGCCCCAGCCCCCAGCAAAGGCCCUAAUAGUUUGUAGGCAGUAGAGCUACUUCACAAUCAUGUUUUAAAGCAGCGACAACAAUUAUACCUUCAGUCUCAAACCAGUUGGGAUCAACUAUAUAAAUUUUCUAUAUCUAUUCCACUAUUUAUUUUUUUUUGGAUAAGGAUGUAAAAUUGUAAAUUUCAUUAAUCCACUAUAUUUGGAGAUGGUCCAUUGCAUUAUUCAAUAGUAGAUCUUUUAAAGUAACUAGUUUUAGUGUACGCGUGUUGCGCGUGUACUUCAUAUUUUGAAAUUCAUUCUAAAAGAUAGAAAUAGACUAACUUGCAAAAGAUAUUUUUUUCUCAUGAUCAAGAUGCAAAUUAUUUCAUUAAUAAAUACUAUAUAGGAACUGUUUCCAGCAUAUUAGAAAAUAAUAAAUUAAUUCAGCCAGCAUAGUAAGAUUAAUCUACAAUUCUUCCUUUAUCUAAUCUCAGAUUUUUCAUCUGGAUGCAUCUAGAUGUUGUUCUCUAUGGAAAACAAGAGUAUAUUCUAGUAAUGUUAUUUGUAAUUAUUAUGAAGGGCUAUGUUCGUAUCAUCUUGGACGGAGUUAGAAUAUCAAAUUCACGUUGAUCAAAAUUAAAAUUUAUUAUCAUCAAUUCUCACAUAUGUAGUGUCUUAAUUUUCUUGUGUGUUUAUAAUCAGUUCCCAUUAAGUAAAUUUUUCUAAAAGUCGGUCCAAUUUGAUUAAAAAUAUAUGUAAAUUGUUUAUAUUUUCUAAGUAUAUUUUUAUUACCAAAUUUACAAAAACACAACAACAUACCCAAUAAAAUUCCACUAGUGGGGCCUGGGGAGAGUAGAGUGUACACAAACCUUACCCCUACCCGAAGAGGGUAGAAAGGCUGUUUCCGGAAGACUCUCGGCUCAACGGGAGAGACAAUAAUAUUAGAAAAGAAACAAAAGAAAAGGCAUGUAACAACAAAAGAUGCCAGAAAGAAAAUAACAACAACGAAUAAGUGAAAGGACAAUAACACAAAACUAAACCAAAACAAGAAUGUGAACACAAAAUGGACCGCUAACAAACCUAAACAAAACUCUAUCAGACUACCUGGUACAAAAAGGGAAGAACUCUCGACUACCCCUAACUCGACUACCCCCUAGCCUACCACCCUAAUGCUUGACCUCCACAUGUUCCUAUCAAGAGCCAUAUCCUCGGAAAUCUGAAGCCGCCUCAUGUCCUGCCUGAUCACCUCGCCUCAAUACUUCUUAGGCCGCCUUCUGCCUCUUCUCGUACCUACCAAAGUCAAAAUCGCUCACACCUCCUAAUCGGUGCAACUAAGCUUCUUCUCCGCACGUGUCCGAACUAUCUAAGCCGCGCUUCUCCCAUCUUGUCGUCCACGGGAGCCAUGCCACCCUCUCCAGAAUAUUUUCAUUCCUAAUCUUAUCUAGCCUAGUGUGUCCACACAUCCAUCUCAACAUCCUCAUUUCUGUCACUUUCAUCUUCUGGAUAUAUGAAUUCUUGACAGGCCAACACUCCACUCUAUACAACAUGGCCGGUCAAACCACCGCUCUAUAGAACCUAUAUUUGAGUUUCGAUGGCACAUUCUUGUCACACAGGACUUCAGACGCUAACCUCCAUUUCAUCCACCCCACCCCAAUGCGUAACAUCGCCUCGAUCUCCCCAUCUCCCUGAAUAAUUGGCCCUAAGUACUUAAAACUCUCUCUCUUGAAGAUGACCUGUGAGUCAAGCCUCACUUUCACAUCCGCUUCCCCCCUCACGUCGCUGAACUUACGUUCCACAUAUUUCGUCUUGUCCUACUCAACUUGAAACAUUUAGACUCCAGGGCCUGCAUCUAUACCUCUAGUCUCCCAUUAAUGCCACCUCGCGUCUCAUCAAUCAAAACUAUAUUAUCAGCAAACAACAUACACCAUGCCACCUCUUCUUAGAUAUGGUGUAUAAGUGCGUCCAUCGCCAGAGCAAAUAAGAACGGGCUGAGCCAGAUCCAUGGUGUAACCCAAUAACCACCAGAAAAGGCUCUGAGUCACCUCCCACAGUCCUAACCCCAGUCAUAAAUCCAUCAUACAUAUCCUCUAUUGCCCUAAUGUAAGCCACCAGCACACCUUUCACCUCCAGACACCUCCAAAGGACGUCCCAAGGGACCUUGUCAUACGCUUUCUCUAAGUCAAUAAACACCAUAUGCAGAUCCCUCUUCCUAUCCAUGUAUAGUUCCACCAACCUCCUGAUAAGGUGGAUAGCCUCAGUAGUCAAACCACCCGCAUGAACCCAAACUGGUUUUCCGAUAUAGACACCGCCCUCCUUAUCCUCCCUUCCACCACUCUCUCCCAAACUUUCAUGAUAUGACUUAGUAACUUUAUACCCCUAUAGUUGUUACAAUUCUGGAUAUCCCUUUUAUUCUUGUACAACGGAACCAUUGUACUCCACCGCCACUCAUCAGGCAUCUUUUUUGUCCUGAAGAUAACAUUAAACAACCCAGUCAUCGACUCCAAGCCUGCUCUACCCGCAUAUCUCCAAAACUCUACUUGAAUCUCGUCUGGUCCGGUCGCUUUGCCCGACUCAUCUUUACACAUCGCACCCACGACCUCCUCAACCUUAAUGCGCCAAUAAUACCUAAAGUCGCGGUGACUCUCAGAGUGCCCCAAUUUCCGUAACACGAUGUUUUCAUCCCAUCUUCAUUCAAAAGUUUAUGAAAGUACGACUACUAUCUUUGCCUAAUCUUGGCAUCUUCUAUCAAUACUCGACCGUCCUCGUCAUUGAUGACCCUCACUUGAUCCAAGUGGCGACCCUUCUUCCCUCUCGCUUUGGCUAACCGAAAUAACUUCUUGUCCCUACCUUUGCCCCAAGUUCCUCAUAAAGCCCAAAAGCAACAGUCUUAGCCUCUGUGACCACUAAUUUCGCCUCCUUCCUAGCCUCCUUAUAUCUUUCUCUGUUCAUUCUCCUCUGUUCCUCGUCGGUGCUCCCUACUAACUUAACGUAAGCCGCUUUCUUGACUUCCAGUUUACCUUGAGCCACGUCAUUCCACCACUAGUCGCCUCGGUGCCCUCCAGAUUAACCUUUCGAAACUUCCAACACCUCUUUUGCUACCUCCCUUAUACAGUCUGCCGUCGCCAUCCACAUAGCGCUAGCGUCCCCACCACUCUUCCAAGCUCCCAUAUUCGUCAGUCGCCCCUCCAACUCCUGUGCAUUAUCCUAAGACAAAACUCCCCAACGGAUGCUCGACUGACCCCGUACAAACCUCUUUUUCCUCUUCAUCAAGAUACUAACGUCCAUUACCAGAAGCCUAUGUUGAGUUGCGACGUUCUGACUAGGGAUCACCUUGCAAUCCUUGCACAAACCCCUAUCACACCUCCUGAGGAAGAGAUAAUCAAUCUGAGUCUUAGCCAUUUUUCUUUUUUUGUUUUAAAUUUUUAAUGAUUUUUUUAUAUUUAUUUUUUUCUUUCAUAAAUAUAUAUAAACGAUUUUCGGCAAAUUUUAACCUUAUUUUUUUUAGUAUUAUAUUUUUAUGUAUAAAAUGGCAAAUGCUUUAAAUAUUACUUAGUAAGAUAAUUUUUACUCUUAAGAUUAUACA
This 4730-nucleotide long non-coding RNA is filed under the name Nicotiana benthamiana. RNAcentral describes it as "long non-coding RNA (NBEN_LNC033505)". The record is from RNAcentral. Lineage: Eukaryota; Viridiplantae; Streptophyta; Magnoliopsida; Solanales; Solanaceae.